UACGGGGGGGGCAAGCGUUGUUCGGAAUUACUGGGCGUAAAGGGCUCGUAGGCGGCCAACUAAGUCCGACGUGAAAUCCCAAGGCUUAACCUUGGAACUGCGUCGGAUACUGGAUGGCUUGAAUUCGGGAGAGGGAUGCAGAAUUCCAGGUGUAGCGGUGAAAUGCGUAGAUAUCUGGAGGAAUACCGGUGGCGAAGGCGGCAUCCUGGACCGGCAUUGACGCUGAGUGAGCGAAAGCCAGGGGAGCAAACGGG
Molecule: ribosomal RNA, 254 nt
Filed under: uncultured bacterium
Lineage: Bacteria
Description: partial 16S ribosomal RNA
Rfam family: Bacterial small subunit ribosomal RNA
Source: RNAcentral